AGCUUUGCGCAGUGGCAUUACCUUAGCUGAUGGGGUCCAUCCGAGGCGCGGUUAUUGCUGAUUGAAAACUUUUCCCAAUACCCCGCGAGACGACUUGAAACAUAGUCGGCUUUGCAAUUUUUGUGGGCCCUAUUUAGGG
This 139-nucleotide small nuclear RNA is filed under the name Nematostella vectensis (starlet sea anemone). RNAcentral's name for it is "U4 spliceosomal RNA". It matches the Rfam family "U4 spliceosomal RNA". Rfam says of the family: U4 small nuclear RNA (U4 snRNA) is a component of the major U2-dependent spliceosome. The structure of U4 snRNA from yeast and human has been reported. U4 snRNA presents a k-turn RNA motif in the 5p-SL related to recognition of Snu13 protein. The record is from Rfam by way of RNAcentral. Lineage: Eukaryota; Metazoa; Cnidaria; Anthozoa; Actiniaria; Edwardsiidae.